AAAAACACGGAGCAAAAAAAAAAGACGCGAGAAUGAAACACGGAGCAAAAAAAAAAGACACGGACCAAAAUCAGCUACCAAUGUAUUCUGUUUGCUAUUCUUUCUUCUAAAUCCCUAAAUCCCCAUUCAGCAUAUUCAGAUCUUCUUUGCCGCCUCACCGGAAGGUGAGGAAACCCGGCCUUCCGGCUUCUGGAGUUCGAUUGAAGAGGGACGAAAGAAGAUGAGUUCAUGGACAUGCUGCAGGGCACUCGAGAUUAUUCGAUUUUCUUCAGCCACUACCGUUGCUGCCGCAUCAGCCUCUUCUAUCUCUGGCUUCAACCGUCCCGGAGUCAUCGGACGUGGUUAACACUCUGGCGACCCCUAAUUCUUCUUCGAUCUCUUCAUCGUCCAUUGAAGGUUAUUUCUUCUCUUUACUACAGCCUCCGAAUUAAAGGUCACUAAUGCUUGGUGUUGUGGAUUGGGGUUUCCUGCGUUUAUCCACCUAAUAGUGAUGAGGAGAAGGAGAUGCUUAGUUGAUUUUUUAUCCUUAUUGUAAUUCUCAGGUCUGUGUGAGGGUGGAUGUGCUGCAAUUAUGGAUUCAAGGACAUCCUUUCUAGCUGGUCCAACCGUACGCGUGCACUCAGGAGGAUUCACCGAUUCAGGCUCUGUUUGUAUAGUGGAUCUCAAUAUUCAAGGUGAAGUUUUCAUUAUUUUUGNNN
Molecule: long non-coding RNA, 698 nt
Filed under: Panax ginseng (ginseng)
Lineage: Eukaryota; Viridiplantae; Streptophyta; Magnoliopsida; Apiales; Araliaceae
Description: long non-coding RNA (PGIN_LNC016239)
Source: RNAcentral